This 128-nucleotide small nucleolar RNA is filed under the name Carlito syrichta (Philippine tarsier). Its description in RNAcentral is "Small nucleolar RNA SNORA51 (ENSTSYG00000028422.1)". It matches the Rfam family "Small nucleolar RNA SNORA51". Rfam says of the family: ACA51 is a member of the H/ACA class of snoRNA that guide the sites of modification of uridines to pseudouridines. Lineage: Eukaryota; Metazoa; Chordata; Mammalia; Primates; Tarsiidae. The record is from Rfam by way of RNAcentral.
GGCCUCUUGGUGCUCACCACAGGUGUGUCCUUGCACUGACCACAUGGGAGGAGGAAGCAGAGCAGAACCACCUGGGUACGCCCCAGCCCAGGCCCCGUGCUCGCUCAGCACCGUGAGUGUGAACUUGG